This 237-nucleotide long non-coding RNA is filed under the name Pelobates cultripes (western spadefoot toad). The record is from RNAcentral. Lineage: Eukaryota; Metazoa; Chordata; Amphibia; Anura; Pelobatidae.
GGCAAAAUACAUUGAAAGAAUACAUGGAGAAAAAACUGAAAUCCAGCUUGCACUCUCCCAUUGUUCACUUGGGAGAGCAUACACUGUGGAGCCCGGCGGUCGGGUGAGUUCCCGAUCCGCCGAGCGAGCAGGGAAGGCGGCCGUCAGGUAUCUCGCGAGCCGCGAGAUCCAAGAUGGCCGCCGCCCACAUGUGAAGGUGCGCCGCGGAUCGCGGUCGCGCGGUGCAAAACAAAGGGG